This is a long non-coding RNA of Oncorhynchus masou masou (cherry salmon), 1167 nucleotides long. RefSeq lists it as uncharacterized. The transcript is spliced from 4 exons. The record is from RefSeq and is a predicted model, not a curated record. Lineage: Eukaryota; Metazoa; Chordata; Actinopteri; Salmoniformes; Salmonidae.
GGCAGUGGCUUCUCUCUUGCUGCUGAGUGGCCUUUCAGGUUAUGUUGAUAUAUGACUUGUUUCACUGUGGAUAUAGAUACAUUUGUAUGUUCAUUUUUAAUAAUGACACCUUUAUUUAACUAGGCAAGUCAGUUAAGAACAAAUUCUUAUUUUCAAUGACAGCCUAGGAACAGUGGGUUAACUGCCUGUUCAGGGGCAGAAUGACAGAUUUGUACCUUGUCAACUCUGGAAUUUGAACUUGUGACCUUCCAGUUACUAGUCCAAUGCUCUAACUACUAGGCUUCCCAGCUACCCUGCUGCUCACCUCUAGAAGACAGAACUUGUCUUCUUCCUGAGCGGUAUGAUGGCUGCGUGGUCCCAUGCUGUUUACUUGCGUACUAUUGCUUGUACAAACGAAUGUGGUACCUUCAGGCAUUUGGAAAUAGCUCCCUUGGAUGAACCAGACUUGUGGAGGUCUACAAUUUUUUUCUGAGGUCUUGGCUGAUUUCUUUUGUUUUUCCCAUGAUGUCAAGCAAGAGACACUGAGUUUGAAGGUUUUGUCCAGUUUCUCCAGUACUAUUACCAGAGUGGCUGUAGGUACAGACGUUGAGCCCUGGGAGAGAGUCACAACAUGGAUUUGACAGUUGAGGGUUUCCUGUCGUGGAUGUGGCGAGGCCUGACCUUCCUUCUGCCCUUCCUGUUCUUUGGUCAUAUGAGUAUCGGGCACAUCAUCCCACUGGAGGUUUUCAUGUGUGGCUGCUCCUACCUCGUGUUUUUCAUGGGAACUUUUCCACCACACUUGGUGUGGUCUACCAUAAGUACAUCCACAACCAAGACACUUCCAAGAGCCUGUAAGACUGGAAGAGAAAGAUAACUGGACAUUGUUACGAACCCAACUAUUUAUUCAAAAUAAUAUGUGCCAAAGGUGUUUUAUACUAAUGUACUUUUUGUCUAUUUUAUACAGUUGUCUUGUAAACCAUGUACAUUUUUCUGUUGCACCUUCUUAUCAAACAUGUUUCGUUUCUUGUUUAAUUUCUGAAACACUUUGUUCUUCGUUCUUCAGAGAAAAGCAGAUUGUCACUUUCAGCAUCACCCAAGCAUUUACAAGCAUUUCGCUACACUCGCAUUAACAUCUGCUAACCAUGUGUAUGUGACAAAUAAAAUUUGAUUUGAUUUUUGAAGAUUUAA